UGGGGAAUAUUGCACAAUGGAGGGAACUCUGAUGCAGCGACGCCGCGUGAACGAAGAAGGCUUUCGAGUCGUAAAGUUCUUUUAUAUGGGAAGAUAAUGACGGUACCAUAAGAAAAAGCCCCGGCUAACUACGUGCCAGCAGCCGCGGUAAUACGUAGGGGGCUAGCGUUGUCCGGAAUCACUGGGCGUAAAGGGUUCGCAGGCGGAAAUGCAAGUCAGGUGUAAAAGGCAGUAGCUUAACUACUGUAAGCAUUUGAAACUGCAUAUCUUGAGAAGAGUAGAGGUAAGUGGAAUUUUUAGUGUAGCGGUGAAAUGCGUAGAUAUUAAAGAGAAUACCGGUGGCGAAGGCGGCUUACUGGGCUCAUUCUGACGCUGAGGAACGAAAGCGUGGGUAGCAAACAGG
RNAcentral lists this ribosomal RNA (403 nucleotides) under bacterium. RNAcentral describes it as "partial 16S ribosomal RNA". It matches the Rfam family "Bacterial small subunit ribosomal RNA", at positions 355 to 776 of the family's 1533-position model. The record is from RNAcentral.